GUAGAUGUGAAUGAGGCCAAUGUGUAAGCAGGACACAGAGAGAAGGCUGAAGGUGAGAUGGCAUAGGCUUGCAGGCCCCUUGCGAGCCAGGGUCAUUCAAGGACUGCAGUGAGAGUUAGGAAAGCCAGGCAAACCUGAGCAAGGAGGAGAAAACGUUCUCCUCCCCUUAUCUCAUGUUGCAAGUCCGGAAUGCCUGGAUCUGCAAGAAGCGGCUCUUGCCUAGAUUAGAGGCGUUCCUUCUUAGGACAAGAACAUACUGUCUCCAGAGGGAGGGUGGCUGGGAGAAUUCUUUAAUUCAGCGAGCAUACAUUCUGUUCUUGAUAAAUCUUGUGUAUCUUUCUUCAAGGAUGUUAGUUUAAUCCCAUUAUGUGUGAAAGUACAUAUUGUUAUGCUUACCUGAUUGCUGCAAGUAUAUAGCUGUGUGGAAAAUAAACGACAGCAUGCAGUUGCAAGUGCUGCCUUUGCUCUGCAUCCCCUGUGUCCCGGUGAUUUCGCGGCCCUUACCCAGGGACCCCAACGCACUAGACGUUGACAAUUGGCGCCCGAACAGGGACCCUGAAGGACGUUCAGGAAGGAGGAUGGACGGACCUGUUCCUGGCUCCCCGCGAGAUGGAUCCGGUCGAGGACCAAUUCGAACGGCACCGUAUCCCGCCAUCUUACAGGAUGCCACCGCGGAGCCGAUGGAAUGAGUCAAUGAGUCUUGAAAGAUGGAGUUACAUGAAAUGGAAUAUUAAACUGUUGUUAGACCUAAAAGGGGCGUCACAAACCAUAGUGGACGUUGCAGCCACUAAAGGACAUACACUCAACCAUAAGCAAGUCCUUGCCAGCAGACUCCAGCCUGUUCAUUUUCCAUCUUCCUCCAUGCAGCCAUGUGCUCCAGAGAAAGGGGCUCAUUCCCAGAAUGAGAGUGGGAGAGAGCCUGCCAAGCAUUUCUCAUGCCAGUGAUUGGUCUAGGCAUGGACCUGUGAUAUAAUUUUGGCCACUGAGACACCAGAGGAAUUUUCUAAGUUUUUUGGAAAAGUUUCCCACAUUGAUUAAAAAAAAAAAAAAAAAAAACUGUGGGAAGAAAUACUCCCUCUUUUUCCACUGAAGUCUGAUGCAUCAGCAUGUGACACCUGGCACUGUGGCAACCAUACUGGGAUCCUGAGGAUGAUAUCACUGACAGGCUGAGAACAACAGAGUGGGAAUGUGGACAGAGACAUAAACCAUCAUUAUAAGGCUGGAUUCACCAAACCUACAGCCACCUAACCUCAGGUGACAAGCCUGGAAGAUUGCCCUCUGAGGCUCCAGAACCCCUGGCAGGCUGAGGAUACCUGCCAAGUGAAACUUCAUGCCAAUUAAAACCCUCCACUUACACAUAGGUAUAGACUCAGCAAUUUAAUGCCCCAAUGUGCAGUUUGUAUAUACUUUUGCAACUGACUCAGGACCAAAGUUCUAGGUUAAAGAGAUGAAGCUCUGACUAAAUGUUUAAUCCCCUGAGUAUCCAAGAGGGAACAGAAGUCAGAUGGGUGGAACAUCACAGCUGGGAGUUUCUACAUAGAGCCUUAGAAAAUGAUCUAGUCAGUGAUCUGCUCCUCAGCUCACCCAUAGGGAAAUAGAUCCCACAGGGAGUCUGUGAUGGAGCUGGGGCUGAGCCCAGAGUACAGGACCUCAGCCACUGCUCCUACCCUCACACUGGUUCUAGAGGAAGAGACUUUGAGGUCAGGGACCUGGCAGUGGAUCAAGGCCUGGCUCUGCAACUUAUGCAGCGGGGUGUGUCAGACCCUCCCCUGUGAAUACCUGCCUCUCACAGCUAUCACAAGGAUUGCAGGAGAUCAUAUGUUGUAGAAAGGCUGCCAGUGCUCCCCUAUCUCCUUUCCUCUUCCUGGGGACAGGAAGGCCAAACUUCCCAGGCUUCCUGGAGUCUGGUUGGGCCAGUGGCAGCUGGGCACAAGUGGGUACUGCACCUGCAGGCCUGGCCCACCCAUCUGAGCCACUCUCCCAACUUUCUCCCCUGACUGUUGGUGCACAGGAUACAGGGCUCCCAGGGGGAGGAUGCUGAGGAGGCCCUGGAAGACCGCAAUACUAACAAGUAGGAGCUUGGACUCAUCAGUCAUCAAGUGAAAGGCCGUCUACUGAAUCCCUGCUUAGGCUUUAAUGUGAGCAAGAAAUAAACAUCUAUUAUGUUAGGCUUUGGGUUGCUUGUUACAACAGCUAGCAUUAAUAAUCCUGACUAAUAACAAAUGUCAUAUAAAACAUAAUAACAAUAACAGAUGCUCAA
This 2260-nucleotide long non-coding RNA is filed under the name Zalophus californianus (California sea lion). RNAcentral describes it as "lncRNA (ENSZCAG00015000675.1)". Lineage: Eukaryota; Metazoa; Chordata; Mammalia; Carnivora; Otariidae. The record is from RNAcentral.